RNAcentral lists this small RNA (557 nucleotides) under Pongo abelii (Sumatran orangutan). RNAcentral's name for it is "retained intron". The record is from RNAcentral. Lineage: Eukaryota; Metazoa; Chordata; Mammalia; Primates; Hominidae.
GGUGUCACCGUGCCCCAACCACCCCUCAUCUCCCCCGCUGUCCCUGCAGCACAGCCUAUGCCCCUGAGGCCACCGACUACGACGUGCGGGUGCUGCUGCGCUUCCCCCAGCGUGUGAAGAACCAGGGCACAGCGGACUUCCUCCCCAACCGGCCACGGCACACCUGGGAGUGGCACAGCUGCCACCAACAUUACCACAGCAUGGACGAGUUCAGCCACUACGACCUACUGGAUGCCGCCACAGGCAAGAAGGUGGCCGAGGGCCACAAGGCCAGUUUCUGCCUGGAGGACAGCACCUGUGACUUCGGCAACCUCAAGCGCUAUGCAUGCACCUCUCAUACCCAGGGCCUGAGCCCAGGCUGCUAUGACACCUACAAUGCGGACAUUGACUGCCAGUGGAUCGACAUAACCGACGUGCAGCCUGGGAACUACAUCCUCAAGGUGCACGUGAACCCAAAGUAUAUUGUUUUGGAGUCUGACUUCACCAACAACGUGGUGAGAUGCAACAUUCACUACACAGGUCGCUACGUUUCUACAACAAACUGCAAAAUUGUCCAG